RNAcentral lists this ribosomal RNA (324 nucleotides) under uncultured eukaryote. RNAcentral's name for it is "partial 18S ribosomal RNA". It matches the Rfam family "Eukaryotic small subunit ribosomal RNA", at positions 1470 to 1796 of the family's 1831-position model. The record is from RNAcentral.
CCCUUAGAUGUUCUGGGCCGCACGCGCGCUACACUGAUACGUUCAACGAGCUCCUUGACCGAGAGGCCCGGGUAAUCUUUGAAACCGUAUCGUGAUGGGGAUAGAACAUUGCAAUUAUUGUUCUUCAACGAGGAAUGCCUAGUAAGCGCGAGUCAUCAUCUCGCGUUGAUUACGUCCCUGCCCUUUGUACACACCGCCCGUCGCUCCUACCAAUUGAACGUGCUGGUGAAGCGUUAGGACUGGAGGUCUUGGGCCGGUUCGCCUGCCCAUAGCUUCGGGAAUUUCGUUGAACCCUCCCGUUUAGAGGAAGGAGAAGUCGUAACA